GAUGAAAAUGGAAAAUGUAAAGAGAAACGAAUGUGCCUAAUUUAAAAAUAUUCUAGAUGCUGUUUUGAAGCUGUACUUUGUUAUGUCAAAAUAGUGUUGUUUUGAUGCAGUUACCUGGUGUCAUUCUCCUCUAGGAAUUCUCCUAUUUGUUGAGUGGAAAUGGUGUGACUGUGAUGUGAUGUUUGUCCCAUCCUCUGGAGGCAGUGCCACACAGAGGACAGUGUGAGAGAAUGGACUCUCACUCAAAAUGCUGAUCACUGCACAGAAGCAAAGACUGGAAUCAUUUUCAGAGAAGUAAGAAUUUCAAAGUGUCCCAAAUAUGUCAGCACAGUAAAAUAAACCCUUUUUAUGAGAAAGAUAUUAAUUUCUAAAUGAAAAUAGAGAAACAACUA
Molecule: long non-coding RNA, 392 nt
Filed under: Callithrix jacchus (white-tufted-ear marmoset)
Lineage: Eukaryota; Metazoa; Chordata; Mammalia; Primates; Cebidae
Description: lncRNA (ENSCJAG00000079955.1)
Source: RNAcentral